UACGAAGGGGGCUAGCGUUGUUCGGAAUUACUGGGCGUAAAGCGCACGUAGGCGGCUAUUCAAGUCAGAGGUGAAAGCCCGGGGCUCAACCCCGGAACUGCCUUUGAAACUAGGUAGCUAGAAUCUUGGAGAGGUCAGUGGAAUUCCGAGUGUAGAGGUGAAAUGCGUAGAUAUCGUCAGGAAUGCCGGUGGUGAAGACGGGUGACUGGGCUGGUUCUGACACUGAGGCACGAAAGCGUGGGGAGCGAACGGG
This 253-nucleotide ribosomal RNA is filed under the name uncultured bacterium. RNAcentral describes it as "partial 16S ribosomal RNA". It matches the Rfam family "Bacterial small subunit ribosomal RNA", at positions 524 to 776 of the family's 1533-position model. The record is from RNAcentral.